Molecule: non-coding RNA, 913 nt
Organism: Callorhinus ursinus (northern fur seal)
Lineage: Eukaryota; Metazoa; Chordata; Mammalia; Carnivora; Otariidae
Source: RefSeq, a predicted model, not a curated record
CAGAAGCCGCACUUUAAAAAGAUAAAAAAGAAAUUUAAAAGCAGUGAAAACAAUCCGUGGCUUUUAUUGCUCUUGCGUCCAAGCGACGCAGACUCUCUCCGUGCCGUCCGUGGGCCCCCUUAGUUCAUCUUCACAGCAAGCCUACAAGUUAGGCACUGUUACUGGUCCCAUUAUACAGAUGAGAAAAUCGAGUCAGCGAGCGGGAGGAAGUUCCCUUGCUCUUUUCCCGCCUGUCCAGGGCCUUGGGAGACACCCUGCCAUCAUGCAUAUGGAUCUCUCUGUGUAUCUCAUUCCAUCCCCACCAUCAUCAGGCCCAUCCCUACUUUACAGAAGGGACAGGUCCUUUCGCCCCUGAGCAGCAAGUGCAGGAUAGAAUCCCGGCUCUCAGCUCCUCCGGCUGGGGCUCUCUCCGCCAUCUGAACCGUACCCCCUUCCCUUCGGGGACAGCUCUCUGUCACAGCAGGAGGCAAACACAUGCGGAGGGAGUGACGGAGUAGGGAAACCACCACCCCUGGGUGAAGGUUUGCUGAGGGGGAGCAGGACAGUCGCAUACCGGAGUCUCCAAGCGUCUCCCCAUCAAGGACUGCCCAUGUCCCAAGAGAAACAGUAACUUAGCAGCAGACGGGGCUCUUCCUGCCGGGGAUGGGCUGAAUGGUGCCCCCCAUUCGUAUGCAGGAGCCUGAACCCCCAUCACCGCUGAAUGUGGCUGUAUCUGGAGGCAGGUCCUUUAAGGGGUGAUUGAGUUAUGGUGAGCCUGUGAGGAUGGGCUCUAAUCCAAGCUGAGUGGUGUCCGUACAAGAAGAGAAAACACGGACCCACAGAGCCACGGGAGAUGUGUGCACACAGAGGAAAGACCACGUGAGGACACAGGGAGAAGGUGGCCAUCUCAAGCCAAGGAGAGCAGCCUCAGAAG